AUUGAACGCUGGCGGAAUGCUUUACACAUGCAAGUCGAACGGCAGCACGGACUUCGGUCUGGUGGCGAGUGGCGAACGGGUGAGUAAUACAUCGGAACGUGCCCAGUCGUGGGGGAUAACGUAGCGAAAGCUACGCUAAUACCGCAUACGAUCUAAGGAUGAAAGCGGGGGAUCGCAAGACCUCGCGCGAUUGGAGCGGCCGAUGGCAGAGUAGGUAGUUGGUAGGGUAAAGGCCUACCAAGCCGACGAUCUGUAGCUGGUCUGAGAGGAUGAUCAGCCAAGCUGGGACUGAGACACGGCCCAGACUCCUACGGGAGGCAGCAGUGGGGAAUUUUGGACAAUGGGCGCAGGCCUGAUCCAGCCAUUCCGCGUGCAGGAUGAAGGCCUUCGGGUUGUAAACUGCUUUUGUACAGAACGAAAAGGCUCUGGUUAAUACCCGGGGCUCAUGACGGUACUGUAAGAAUAAGCACCGGCUAACUACGUGCCAGCCGCCGCGGUAA
Molecule: ribosomal RNA, 500 nt
Filed under: uncultured bacterium
Lineage: Bacteria
Description: partial 16S ribosomal RNA
Rfam family: Bacterial small subunit ribosomal RNA
Source: RNAcentral